UUGGGCAUUCUAAUUAGUCAUGUGCUUAGUCGCUUAAUAAGCAAUUCAACAAUAGAAGAUUGUCUAAUUGCAUUGUGUCAGUGGUGAACAAGCAUGUUAGAAAGACAGUGGCAACUGGAAGGAUAAGCUACUAAGGUUCUUCUAAAAAAACUAAAUGGAACUUACAGCAUUUCUUGCAUCAGAUGGAUGAGACUCUGGCAGUCCCUGCAAUGAUGUUUCAGGUAAUUCAUCUUAUUCAAGAAGUUGAUUGUUGAAAGCUAGUUACGUUUGGUACAUACCAUUUUGUUUGGUAAGGUAUCCUGUUUAGGAGUUGUUCCUUGUUCUAAACUACUCUUCUACAUAGAAAGACAAUCGUUAGGAUUUACUGAAAAAAUAGGAGAUGUUCAAUUGUCUACUGUAAAUUUAUCCCCUUUGGUUUUGCUUGACAUACCUCAUUUUCUCCACCACCUAGUGUUGGAAGACCAUAGUGAACCAAAUAUUCUGAGUCAACAACCCCAACAUUAGUGGUUCGGUUCCCCUAUCAAAAAUAGUUACAGAUCAAACAGGAGAGCAGACGUUUUUUUUUUUUGAAUUGAUGAUUAUUUCUGAAAAAAGUAACUACUGGUGCAGGAGCUGAUACCUGCGCACAAUAUCCAAGCUGAAAGUCCACCCCCCAUGCAUGAACAAAGUCAUUCUGUAAUAUCAAACUUGCCAAUUGAAUAAGGAAUUUGGUGUACGACUAGUGUGUUAAGAUCUGAAAGCAUACCUGAAUUAUGUACCAUGCACAGCGCCACGAUGCUCUUGAAAAAACAGGAGCCAUCAUUUCCACCCACCUACAUGUGAAUUCAGAAUUCAAAGAUGGAUAGGAAAGAUGUGAAAUGAAACACAAUUCUUUCUGGCCAAUAAUAUAAUAUUACCCAGUGCAUGGAGGUUCAGUACUGUCUCCGUAGCACCUCCUUCCAGGACCCUUUAUGUUUAUUGUCCUCCUGUUUCAACCAUAAGAGUACAUCCUUUCAAGAAGAUCCAACUUAUAACUGAUAAAACCAGUCACUGAUCAUGAAAGUAAUAAUACUACCUGUGCACUCUUGACCCUUCUUGUCGCGCUGUAAGUUUGUGGUGAAUUUCUGAAAUAUCUGCAUCGAUUGCUGGCUGUGAUAUAUGAAGACCUUCUUCUUUUAUUAUUGAUAAAUAUCUGUAUGCAGGUGGAGAUUAAUUUUCUGGUUGACAUUUCAUGGAUCUUAGUAUGAAGAUAUAUCUUUUUAUUACCGCCCAGCAUUGAAAUUUUCGACUCCAAGAUCUUCAUCCCAGAGGAAUAUG
RNAcentral lists this long non-coding RNA (1296 nucleotides) under Solanum lycopersicum (tomato). Its description in RNAcentral is "long non-coding RNA (SLYC_LNC000641)". The record is from RNAcentral. Lineage: Eukaryota; Viridiplantae; Streptophyta; Magnoliopsida; Solanales; Solanaceae.